CCUACGGGGUGCAGCAGUGAGGAAUAUUGGUCAAUGGACGAGAGUCUGAACCAGCCAAGUAGCGUGAAGGAUGACUGCCCUAUGGGUUGUAAACUUCUUUUAUAUGGGAAUAAAAUGUUCCACGUGUGGGAUUUUGUAUGUACCAUAUGAAUAAGGAUCGGCUAACUCCGUGCCAGCAGCCGCGGUAAUACGGAGGAUCCGAGCGUUAUCCGGAUUUAUUGGGUUUAAAGGGAGCGUAGGUGGAUUGUUAAGUCAGUUGUGAAAGUUUGCGGCUCAACCGUAAAAUUGCAGUUGAAACUGGCAGUCUUGAGUACAGUAGAGGUGGGCGGAAGUCGUGGUGUAGCGGUGAAAUGAUUAGAUAUCACGAAGAACUCCGAUUGCGAAGGCAGUUCACUGGACUGCAACUGACACUGAGGCUCGAAAGUGUGGGUAUCAAACAGGAUUAGAUACCCCUGUAGUC
Molecule: ribosomal RNA, 460 nt
Filed under: uncultured bacterium
Lineage: Bacteria
Description: partial 16S ribosomal RNA
Rfam family: Bacterial small subunit ribosomal RNA
Source: RNAcentral